RNAcentral lists this long non-coding RNA (8808 nucleotides) under Gallus gallus (chicken). Lineage: Eukaryota; Metazoa; Chordata; Aves; Galliformes; Phasianidae. The record is from RNAcentral.
CGCCAUUCCCCGGGGAGCGAAAAAAGUCCCCGAAGAGCAGGGACCCCGCCGGAAAGAGCGGCAGAGCGCGCACACCAAAGCCAGGAUGCUAUUGGCUAUCGCCAACGCCCGUCCCAGCCCCGCCACCAAUAGCAACGUAUAGCGCCGCGGGGCUAAACUGAGGCGCGUUCGGCCAAUAGCGUGGGAGAAGGUGGGUGGGGCCACCUCUAGCGCCGCGGCGAGGGGCAGCCAAGAUGGCGGCCGGGGGGGGCCGGUGGACGCGGUGCUGUCCGAUCCCCGUUCCCGCGCUCAACGUCGCCACCCCCCACUCGGAGGCAUGAGAACAUCAAAACUACAUGACAGCAUCACCUGGCACCAGUUAGCGCGGCUCUCCCAGAGAGCAUUGUGAUACUUCGGGUCCAGAUGGCCUCCGGGCAUGCAGAGGUUUGACAGGGAGGAAGGUCAGAGAGAGGGACAAAGAGGAAUGAAUGAGGAAGGAGUUCUGCUUGCAACUGAGAUAAGUGGUGAGAUAGGAGCUCCAGAGUCUCGUACACUUACAUAGCAUGUACUUGUGCAUGUGCACUUCCCACUCACAGUCAUACAGAGUAUUGCAUAAUAUUGGCAUCUGAAUGUAUAGAAUUAUAAACAGAAUAUAGAAUUGUUUUCAAAGACAUUUUCCCUCUGUUACAACUAUAGGACCUUUUGCCUUUCAACAUAUGUUAAGUGUGGAAUAUGAGAGCAGCCAAGCAGUCUGUGACAACUUUGUUUUGCAAAGUACUCAAAUUGGACCAGAAUGUGAAGCUUUAAGAACAUGGGAAAACAUUUCACGUAAUGCAGAACAGUAAUGUUAUAACAGAUCUUAUAUUUCAGAACCUCUCGGUACUCGUUUCUGUGUUUAUUUAAAGAAACUACUGUUAACACAUCAGAACUCAAGGAUAUUAAAUAUAUUUUAUUUUCUGCAUGAGAUCAGAAAUAAAUAAAGCAUAUCAUUUGACAUAAAAUCCCAGCUCACCCCCAAAGUACAUCUGUGCAAAAGCACAAUCCUAUCCAUAAAGCACAACAACAAAAAUCUAUAAAAUAGACAUUGCAGUAAAUGAGUUGACUGUUGAGGAGACAGUUUCACAGUAAGUAAAAUUUCAGUUACUGCAACGAGCAGUUUGACUGCCUAAUUUUUCCCUCUUUAUGUGAGAACAUAGUUUGAAAUUUAUCAGAAGGUUUUAGUGUGCAUUUUUUUCCCCCAGCAUUUUGGUACUCUUUUAGUAUGACAGACUUGUGCAAGUUCUUUUAUUUUGACCUCAGUUUUGAAGCUCUUUAUACUUAGAUUUGCACUGAAAUGGGCUUAUUAUAAUCACGUUAGGUUCCAGUCUUGCAAAGAUUUGCAUACAUGCUUAAUGUCAACUGUCUGAAUAGUCCUAUUAAGUUCAGUAGGGUGACUCUUGCACAACAUGAAGUAUGCACAGACAUCUUGGAAGAUUGAGGGCCAUAUGUUAGAGCAUAAAAACAAGUUAUCCAUCAUUUAAUUUUAAAAUAGAGCUGUGGAACUAAUAUGUUAUUUGAAAAAACAUUCUGGACUUAUCUGAAAUCCCAGAGGCACAGCUUAAUUCAAUUUCUUGGCUCUCACAGUUUUUAAACAGUACAAGUUCAAAACCAGAGGUGUCACUUCAAAUGAAAACAGCAGCCAAGACAGUUUAAACAGAGCUAGGCACAUUCAGUCAUAAUUUUCUUUAUGCAAGUAUUUAAACAUAUUUUAAGAGGGAGAAAAUUAUCAUUUGUAAUUGAGAACUGAAAAGUGACCUUUUCUUUAUUUGUUGAUUCAUUGAGCCUCAGAAUGAGUACUUUUAUAUCUGUUUUGGUUGUUGUGUGGCUGUUUUCUUCAGAACUGUCAUAAUUAUUGUCAUUGCUAAAAAGGACCUGUGCACACUAAAGGUUAAAAGCCUGAUACCGCAGAAUGAUUAGCCUCGGCUGCAGUGCAAUUCAGCUGGAUUCGCAAGUGCACUUCUUGAGAUCCUAGUUUUGUGGGGAGUAUUUAUAGUCCUGUUUAGUCGCACUGACUUCAGAGAGAUGACACAAGCACCCAGCACUGUCACCUCAGUAGUAAUUAAUGGUAUUCCUUUUUUUAUCUUAAUGGGCAAAUCAGUUUUAAAACCUUUUUUCUGCAUUGUUCUGAAGAAAGAACUAAAAUUACGGUUGAUAGUAGGAUAAUUCUAAUUUUUCUAGCCAAACUUGGCUAAAAGAAGUUAGUUCUCAUUCAACUGAAAAUUAUUAGAGGUUAAAGAUAAAUGCUAACCUUUCAAUAUUAUUUAAUAGAGCACAACCAAACAAAAGAGAAAGAAGUUAUCAAUCAGGCAAAGUGCUGUCUGAAUCAAUGGCAAAGCAGCAUUGGCUGAACAUCAUAUGAAAGGCUGUAUAAACUCAUGUAGUCAGAGGAUAACUUAGCAUGAGAGAAAUUAGACAAGACAUCCUGUAUUCCACAAUUGCUUGGAAACACUGACAUUUUUACAGCAGAGUGAUACUGAUGACAUUGAACACAGCUGCAAUUAGUGAAGGAAAUGUUCAUCCUUUGUGGGGUGAAAAUGAAUUGGUACUGGCAAUUUUCUGGUCUUUCUUCCGUGUUUUGUUUCUCUUAGUUGGUUUCUCUUAGUUGUUUUUUUUUUUUUUUUUUUAAAAAAAAAAACAAAAAACUAAGCCAUGAUCGUGUUACAAGCCCACACUCCACUCCACUAUGAUGUGGGAAGCUGCAGAGAGUCAGGAGUUUUCCCUUGCUACCUAGGCAAGUGAGGCAUGAAAAUACGAAAACAUAUUACAGUCCUUCUUAAAGGAUCUCAUUAGAGUUCUCAGAUGUGUUUAUCAUUUCCUAUGAUUUUCUUCUAUCCCAUUAUCACAAACUUACAACCUGAAAAUGAUUAGUCUGUUUAGAAUGUGAUUUAAAAUAUGAAAAGGUUAAAUAUGAAUUUUUUUUCCUAUAGGAUAAAAUAAGUGUAGGGUUUUCUAAAGCUGUAGAUAUUUUCGAAUAUUUUCGAAUUCUGCACAGAAAGGUUUCUAAGUGAUGUCCAAAAUGUGGUGAAUACUGUGUGUCUGUUCAAAAAAAACCAGCACACAUUCUUAUAACCUCAUGGUGUCUCAUGGAGAAAAAUCAUUGCUUCAUCCACUUCUUCUCACCCACUCUCAGCUGUAAGUACCUAAUAAAUAAGAUCUCUCUCAAAGAUGUAACUCACAGAUCUCACUGGCUGCCAAAAAACUUGCACAGAAAGAUUGUUUAUGAUGAAGGCUUCACUUUCCAAAUAAUAAUAAUGAAAAAUAGCAGUGAUUCCUACAUUCAGAAAUAAAUGCAGGACUAAGAUAUAAAAAGUAUUUCAAGAUGGGCAUCUGCAUAUUAUGUGAGGUGGGCACAAAAAAACUGUAUCUGCAUCAUUUUUACUGCGCUUCAAUGUAAAUAGCAAGCAUAUUUCCAUCUGGCCUGACUUAUGGGAUUUUGGGUGUUCACUAAAUGGUUGAGUGAUUUUUAAUCACUGGAUUUUGUAUUGUAAAGUUACACAAGGAGAAAAAAAAAAAAGAGCAACAUGAAUGCACUUGAUUUAUUUGCUCCUUAGGGGAUGUGUGACAGAAUAGUGUGCUAAAGGACCCACCGUACAUUGUCAGUGGGUGAAUGAAUGAUUCCCAGAGUGUGGAGUCCACACACACAACCAUUGAGGUUGUUCUCACUAUUUCAGAGUAUUUAGUGUAAGCUCACAAAAGAGAAAGCACUCAGAAAUCCAGUCCUCGAUAUAAAAUAUUUUCCGGAAGUAUAUAUUCAGUAGAAAGACAUGCAGCUCUGAGACGUUUAUGGCAGCUGCAGAGAGCUCCUCUCUGACCUCUGUUAAAGAUUACACGAUGGACAGGGAAGCCAAGUCAGACAUCUUGUUCAAAGGGACAAUAUUUCAACUGCCCUUUGAUAGAGCAGGAACUCCUCCCUUCCUACAUCCAGGAAAUAUGCAGGUUGCAUCACAUGGAGUAGGAGGUGGAAAGGAUGGUUUCUUACAUCAAACUGUGGUUCUUUAAGAUGUCUGCAGGAUCCUGCUGCAUGCUGUCCAGCCCAGCUUUUUGGAGCACUCUGUACCAGAAGCAUUGAAUUUCAAGGGAAUUGAGGGGAGGUCACAGCAGUGCUGUGCUCAUUUCCUUUAACAAAGGGUGCUGCGGGGCAUGGGGAUUGUACAUGGCCCACAGAGAUACAAGCCAAGAGAAACUGCAUCAGUGCAGAGCAUCUGUGCAGCUACUGAAGAUAACGUCGGUACAGUCAUACCAAAAAGCUACAGUUGUAGGGCUCUCUUGUGCAGUACAGGGCAUGAACUGCAACAAAGACAGAGCCAAGAAAUGUAACAUUGCCUUGUCUGAUUGGCAGCGAAGACCAGAGCUCAGAAAAUUCUGUUACUGUUGCUGUUUUCCCAAACUUAAGGUCCCUACAGCAAAACCAGAAAUCACUCACAGGCAAAGAAGACAAUCAGAGAGAAAGGUACUGAAAAUGUACAUUCUGGCUAUUCUAAACCAAAAUGACUCAGCAACUGCUGAAGGGGCAGAGAAUUGAGAAACACUGCGUAUAUAACAGAGCUCAUGUACCUUCUCAGCAAAUACGUUAUGUAGCCUUGUGGACCACACUGGGUUCGUGUAUGGAGAAUGCUCGCCGCUUGGCACGAUUCCCUUGGAAUGUACUUUGGAAUAACCUUCUGAACAUGUGUGAUUCACAGGGCAGAAGGUGCCAACUAAGAGGAUGUUUGUGCUGUGGUCCAAAGUCGUUAUCACACUAACUGCCUGGCACUGAACUAUCAAGUGACUAUUCCAAUAAGCAGUGGGAUACACUCUGCAUGUAUGCCAGAGUCAGCACAGGCUGCAAAACUUUCUGGAGAUUUAACAGCCUAACAUGAUGAGCUCCGUGCUGCUUUACGGAUUGUUCUAGUAACACCAAGCUCAAUAGCUUACUUAAAGCUAGUUCAGAUGUGCUUGCACGUAUCACACCUCAAGAUUUUCAGGGUGGAGCUAUGCAUUACCAUCAAUGUACAAGAAAGGAUUUGGAGAGUGCAGUAAAUUAGAGGUAUUUGUAGCCUUUGCUGUCAUCUGCAGGCAGGAUACAUCAGCAAGAGAUUUAAGAGCUAGACAGCACGAGAACCACUCCAUGCAACACUACGGUGACAAAACAGUUCUAGUGAUAGCACCUGCAAUUGCAGGGAGAAAUUGUAGGUCCAAAACAGAUCUAUAUCCAUGCACAUGCUUUGUACAUCAUUUUACAUCAUUGCCAGACUUCUGUAGAGCCUUACCCUUAAUAGCUGCCAGGAAAGCCUCUACAGAAGAGGCUGGUUGCAUAAGUCUGUGCUUCUGUGCAGACUCUCAGACCAUAAAAAGAUACUUAACCUGGAUCAUCCAUCUGCAUAGCUAUAGAUAGAUGAGUUACUAGAGAAUCACUCUUUGUAAGUGGCUGUACAUUUGUAUCCUUCUAAGCAUAUAUCCAGUAGAAAAUUUUCUUUCUGCCUUCUUAUAAGCACUUCUCUCAGUUUGAGGUUAGCAAUUAACAUGUCUAGGACGGUGGCUAUUAACCACAGUGGUGUUUAAGGGAAUAUGUGACAGGCUGGGGGGGAAGUUCUAAUACAUAUCUAUAAAGAUUUUUUUGUGGGGGUGAGGCAAGCCCACUCAUACUGUGAGCAGGAAUAAAGGCCUGACAGAGAAAAAUGUACUCUGUAGCACUGCAGAAAGUAGCCCUGAUGACCCAUCGUACUUAGGAAUCACAGAAUGUUCUGAGUUGGAAGGGACCCAUAAGGAUCAACCCAGCUCUUAUAGAAGACCCCAAGAGAAAAAAGUUGGACUUCUCUGAAGUUAACUUUGGUUGCAGAAUAGCAGGACGUAGCUAUGAUAUGUGGAACAAGCACUGCUGGAUACCUGUAGACAUACAUUUGUCUUCCAGAUAUUUCCCUAAGUGAAGACAGAUGGAAGCUGUGAAUUAACUGUUUAGCAGUUUAAAAUAUAGAAGAGGAAGGGAAAAAUUCUGAAAACCCACUAUCCAAUAUUUUGGUUUCACAAAUGCCAAAGGAUCACCACCUCACAUACACAUGGUCAAGAGAAAAUUUUCAAAUCAGCUUUGCAAGCAAAUAAAGGGUGUGUUUCAAAAGAACUAAAGAAUAUCUACCCGAUCAUCGAGUUGUAUUGGAAAGGGGACUGUCAUAGCCAGCCAGGAAUUCAAAUGACUAAAGUACCAGACUUUGAAACUAACUUGGAGUCACCUUGCUCCCCCAAACCCAAUUUUGCUUUCCUGAGAUAUCCCACACUGAGGACAAGUAACACUUGGUUUCUAAACCAUGGAUAUUUAGAUGCUUAUAGGAGAGUGAAAUGAGGGCCCCAAGGUAAGAACGUGUAUACGUAGCAAUAAGACUGAAGUCACUUUCAGAUCCAGUUUGCUUAUUUUGUUCCUGUAGUUGUUUUUUGUCUCUCUCCUCUUCCAGUAGUAAUAACAUUUAUAACAAACACCUAUGCACUUGAGUAUUGGCUUGGGACAUACUGACGCAUAUACCUCCAAAAGUUCCAGGCUUCAGAUUACAUUAGUAAUACUUCCAGUACAUCAAAUUACCUGAAGGAUCAAAACAUACUUCUAUGUUUGAAUGAACUACUUAGCAUAUUACAGAAGCAAAGGUGGAACAAACAUUCCCUGGAGGGAGGUUGCAGAUGCCGGGCUGGUUAGUCUGGUACACAGCAGCUGGGCUCAUAAAACCACCUCCCUCUGUCUAUGUAUCACACUCUUAUCAGGAUGCUAUCUGAACACCUUUACAAACCAAUUAAAUGCAGACAAAUUGUAUGCGAGAAAUUGCUUAAUCCAGAGAGAUAAACAGCAAAAUGAUAGUAUUUUGUUGUCCUUCAACUCAUUCAAAGCUCUAUACCUACUAAAGAAACAGCAUCUGAGGUCAAGGCUGGGUGCAACUGGCUGUGGAUGCAGCACAGUAGGUCUCUCUUUCAGGUCACCAGUUCACACAAGGUGACACUAGGUUGGCUUUUAUUAGGGAGUCUGAUAGUGUCCCUAAAAUCUUGAGCUGUGAGCCCUUGGCCCUCAGCUGCUUCCUUUCCAACUGCAGCGAGACUCCAGAAGUUCAUAAUCUGUAACAGCAUUUGAAACUUUCUCUUCCAGGGUACUUUCUCCAGAAGCACUGCAUAUUCCCAACCUUUGUCAUACACAGAUACAGUGAGCUUCUCAGAGGUGGCAAUUUCUCAUAGCCACCAAGAAUUACUUGCUAAAGUGAAUUAAUUAUGAUCUGCAAAUAUAGAUAAGAAACAAAACUUCACCAAAGAAAGUGCACUAGUGGGAAUCUGUGAAGCUCUUAUUCACAAGGAUAAUCCGUAGCCUGGUUUCUGUGAGGUAUUCUAUUUAAUAAGAUCAUCUCGGAUGAUGUUUAUAAGAUUGAUGACUGAAGGAGCUGAUCUGAUACCAGAAUAUCCGAAGUUAUUUUCCAUGUUCACUGAAUUGAAUCAUUGUAUUCUUCUUUCUGCUGAUGCUGAAUUGUUCAUGCAAUAUAUUGUUUUUAUUGUUUUGCCUUUUUUUUUUCUCUCCUCUCGAAUCUAUAAACUUUUUAAUCCUUACUUCAAAGUAAGGAUGCAAGCCUUAGGACUGACAAUCACCUAUUAAGACAUUUCCAAACAAUUAAAGUCUUUUCCUAUUAAGGAACAAACAGCCUUGUAAAAGGACUGCAGCAGAGAACCAACAGUAAAACGGAUCCCUCAGAGGAGAGGGAAUGAGAACAUAAGAGGUCAUGUCACUGGACUGUGUAACAAAAUAUCAGAUCUGCUGAGAGAUAAAGGCAGCCUGCAGAGGCAGGGUAGCCCCAAGGGGAGGGCGCUCAGUGAGAGAGAAGCCUGGCUAAGAGAACUGGGGGGUGAACCAGGCUGAGCAUAAAGGAAGAGGCCCCUGUGGGGGCAGGAGGACUGCUUGCUGGUAACCCAGCUCCCUGGGAUAACAAGUUUAUGAAUGUGUCAAUGUGGUCCUUAACUCCCAGGGAUGCAUUUGCAGCUAGCCACGAGGAAGAAAUGGCACCUAUCAAAACCUAGGGAUGAGAGAAGUAGAGCAAAGAGGAACGAGCAGCUGCCCAGAGGAGGCAGAACCCUAGCAGGGAGUUUUGUGCAUAGCAAGAAGCCAGAGCAGAAGGUGCCCUGAGUGUAGCCUGUGUGUAUGAAGAACUCAAUUCCCAUGACUCCUGGGUGCUGACAUUAUAUCAGCAACCUGGCUGUGCUGGGUGCUCUUCAAGAGCUCAGGGACAGGGAACAUGGAUAAAGUCUUGUUAUGCUCAAUUUCACCAUUUCAUUUUUUUGCUUGGGACUUGGUCCCCAGACAAUUUUACCAUUUUAUUUACCUUAUACAUAAUUCAAGUCCAAAAACCUGUGCAAGAAAGGAGAAACAAAAACCUGGCAAUAUAGGGUGAUGGGGGGGGUGGGGUGGGGAAGGGGAAGUUUCAGGGAGAGUAUAUUUAUCUUUAGAGUUGAAAACUAUUUAGGAAUACUUCCCCCAUCAGUAGAAGAAAGUCCAAUGCCCACAGUCAUGGUGUUGACAUCGUGUUCACACACAGAGGAGUCCCAUAGGCCAAGUGAUGGCUACAAAAGAGGCAGUGUGGAACAAAUCCCAUCUGUCAUCCAGCACGAGACAUGAAACCUGGUCACAGCUGCACCAGUCACUACAGCGACAUUCCACUUCGCUUCUUUGAGUCCUUCUGUGCAAUUGGACUGAAGGAUAAGAUCUCCUUGUAGAUAUGUUCUUGAAAAACAGAAGAAAAACAAGUAAUGAAUCACACAUCUCCCACUGCAGAAGUCACAAAUGAAACUUCAACC